CCUACGGGUGGCAGCAGUGGGGAAUAUUGGGCAAUGGGCGCAAGCCUGACCCAGCAACGCCGCGUGAAGGAAGAAGGCCUUCGGGUUGUAAACUUCUUUUGUCAGGGACGAAGAAAGUGACGGUACUUGACGAAUAAGCCACGGCUAACUACGUGCCAGCAGCCGCGGUAAUACGUAGGUGGCAAGCGUUAUCCGGAUUGACUGGGUGUAAAGGGCGUGUAGGCGGGAGAGCAAGUCAGACGUGAAAUUCCAGGGCUCAACCCUGAGCCUGCAUUUGAAACUGUUUUUCUUGAGUGCUGGAGAGGCAAUCGGAAUUCCUGGUGUAGCGGUGAAAUGCGUAGAUAUACGGAGGAACACCAGUGGCGAAGGCGGAUUGCUGGACAGUAACUGACGCUGAGGCGCGAAAGCGUGGGGAGCAAACAGGAUUAGAUACCCUAGUAGUC
Molecule: ribosomal RNA, 443 nt
Filed under: uncultured bacterium
Lineage: Bacteria
Description: partial 16S ribosomal RNA
Rfam family: Bacterial small subunit ribosomal RNA
Source: RNAcentral